UACGUAGGGUGCAAGCGUUAGCCGGAUUUAUUGGGCGUAAAGGGCUCGUAGGCGGUUCGUCGCGUCCGGUGUGAAAGUCCAUCGCUUAACGGUGGAUCCGCGCCGGGUACGGGCGGGCUUGAGUGCGGUAGGGGAGACUGGAAUUCCCGGUGUAACGGUGGAAUGUGUAGAUAUCGGGAAGAACACCAAUGGCGAAGGCAGGUCUCUGGGCCGUUACUGACGCUGAGGAGCGAAAGCGUGGGGAGCGAACAGG
This 253-nucleotide ribosomal RNA is filed under the name uncultured bacterium. RNAcentral's name for it is "partial 16S ribosomal RNA". It matches the Rfam family "Bacterial small subunit ribosomal RNA", at positions 524 to 776 of the family's 1533-position model. The record is from RNAcentral.